Girardinichthys multiradiatus is the source of this 3818-nucleotide long non-coding RNA. RefSeq lists it as uncharacterized. Lineage: Eukaryota; Metazoa; Chordata; Actinopteri; Cyprinodontiformes; Goodeidae. The record is from RefSeq and is a predicted model, not a curated record. The transcript is spliced from 3 exons.
UUUGACCAGCAGGGGUCGCCCUGCUCCAGCUUGUUUUCCUGUGAUGACAUUCCUCAGGUCUCUGAUGUGUGAAGGAACCUCAGGAAUGUUCUUCCAUGUAGUUUAAUCUCAGCACAACAGAUUGUGAGUCCUGUUGGGUCCGUGGUUCCGGCCCAGCGGUGGCUGUCUGAGGGGGAGGCAACAGAUGGGCUGAGACCCAGCCGACUCUCGGUCCAGGUGGUUUUAAUGUUGCGGCCGCUUUCCUCUGCGCAGCUGACGACUGUUAUCGGUAAAUAAGGGCUCAAAACCACAUCUCCAUGGUGACAAGGCCACGAGCUGCAAGAUUGGCUGCUACAGAAACGCGUGUUGUUAUAGCAACGGUCACGGAUCACAGCAGUGGCCGUCGUCGAAGAUAUGACAUCCGAAGUCAGUGCUGUCAGUCCCCGUUGUCAUGGUGAUUCUCUGAUGCAAACGGCUUUGACACAAAAAUAAACUAGACAUCACAGAUAAAUAAAAUGAUGCUUACUGUGUUGUACUGGAGAAAAAGAUACACACGGCUACCAAUAAAGAAACCUGAUGGUGCAAGUAUGAUUGCUCCUGUUAGCUGGUGUGCAGUCAAUCCACCUCCAUAUCCAGCAGCUUGUAGAACCUCCUUCAGCAGCAGAACCUUUCACAGGGAGUCCCUCACAUCAUCGUGGACUGAUUCUGGCCCACUCUCCUUUUAAUGCUCAUUCCGUUCAUUGAGGCUUGCAGGAGAUUUCUGCACAGCUCUCUAAAGAUCUGCUGGUGUAUUUGGGAUUAUUGUUCUGUUGAUGACCCAGUUUGGACCAAGCAGUAUAUCUUGAGUAUAUGACAUCAUAUCUGGAAACAGGCCCAAAUCAUCAGCUCUCCACCAUUGUGUUUCAUCGCUGGUGGGAGGUGUUUAGUGUCGUCCAAACAUGGUGCUGUGGAUUAUGGCCAAACAUCUCAACUUUGGUCUCAUCUGUUCAAAGGACAUUGUUCAGGAGGUCUUGUUCCAGUGAGUGUGCAGUCAGGAGAGGCAGGUAAAGCACAGCCUCACCUUUCAACAUGACAAGUAAAAUCCCAGCAAUAAUAAGAGAAAACUAAUUUGUGAAUUGAAGUGUUCUAUAAAUUUGUUCUCAGUAUGAUAACAUUUUUAUGGUCAAAAUGGCUGAAUUUAUGCAGUGCUGUUUCAAAUCCAUGGGGGAAAGGGAAUAGCUGUGCCUCACCAGUGAUGGCGCUGUCACACACUGACUGAUGCAGGCAGGUGGAGCAUGCCAAUUCCUGUCUGUCUUUAUAUCGCCAACAUACAUGCUGGAUUAUACAUGUACAAAACACCCUGACGUUCCACAGUCUGUCGAAAAUAUUUAAUGAAUGUGUGACAUAUUUAACCUUUCGGCCAUAAACGCACAGUGAAAAAGUGCCAGGCGCGCUGAUAGGGUGCAGUGCUGAUCUCCAUAGGUACAGACAGUUAACAGCAGGUCGCUUCAGCUACGCAGAGGUCAGGGGUCACCCUUUUCAACUGGAGUGGUCCAACUGUAAACAGUUUGGAGUCCACAGGUUUGUCUUGGCAUUGAAUGGGCAACACAGGCUGAACAUUAAAACGAGGGAUUGGCCAAAAUGAAAAAAAUUAUCAAGUAUAAAACAUUUGUUAUUCUUGCUAUGGGAUUGUUGAACAUUAUGGAUUAAUUAAAGCAAAAUUAAAGCUAUUAAAAUAAUUAAAUGUUUCAAUUAAGGUCAAAAAUGAAAUGCAAGCCUCUAUUUUGGAUUCAUGUAUUUGUACAUCCGAAUCCACAGGAGUCUUUGCCUCCCCAUCCACGAACCUCACAGCCUGUCACUGUCUUGUUCAGAUUCAGUUUUGCAAUCUAAGUCCUGCUGCCAUAUUGUUUUUAUGCCCAAUGCAUAAUCUGAGAGAAAAAUGAAUAAGUUAUUUUCCUUGAGGCUGCUAGAACAAGAACAAAGUUCGUUCUGGAUUGGACAUUUCAUACUUCAUGAGAACUCAAGUGCAGAACGUCUGGGAAGUCUUUCCUACUGCAGCACACCACCUUUAUAGGUGUCUGACACCACACAAGAAAUAGGAUCUACCCAGAACAUGUGUCAAGAACAAGCAGCACAAACAGAAUGAUGUCUUUUAGAUCUUGCAACUCUGGGAGACAGAAUAAAAUUCUUGGUUCUAGCAGGGUAUCCAUCAACCUUUAGACACAGAAGGUUUUCUCCUUCAGCUCUUCCAAACAGCUAUACUAGUUCAUUAAAACUCCUUUUCCACUGGCUCUAUUAAGGCAGUGUGGCCCCACUCUACUCGGUCUCUCUCUACUCGACACAGAACCAGUUGUGUUUCCAUUGAACCACUGACGGCUGGAGCUACAGCUUGAAGCCCUGCCGUCAGGUCCCUGUGUUGCUAUUAAUACUAGUGUGUGAUAUUGUCUCAUUAAAGUAAUCUGUAUGAAAAAAUAAACAGAAAUAAAUAGAAAAUAAAAAGAUAAAUGAACUAAAUACUAAUAAUGUUUGUAUCGUUCUUUAUGCAAGAAUGUCUUAUAGAUGUUUUUGCCAGAACUUAUAAAAUAAGGCUCAGAGGUUUUUUUUGGGCUUCAUGAGGAAGUUCUUGUCUUAUCCAUGGCAAUUACAAGGACCAGGAUUUUAAAGCCCAGAACCGUGGACUUCUGACCGCAGUGAAGUUAGUUUUAGGUUGGAUCUUUGUGCUCCAUGGAUUCAGCAGGUCUGCCUCCCGUUUGACCCAAUGAAGACAGUCUGAUUACAGGCAGCUGCUCUGCCUGCUCUCUCCUUCUGCAGACACUGGUUCUCUGAAGGACCAUCAAUAAAUGUCAGAACCAAACACGCUGCUUCAUGGUGGUUUUGUUUUGUGUGUUUUGGGGGAAGUGUUUGUGUGUCUGAACACCUGAUUUUAUAUGUGAUCAGCUGGUUUAGGAUGUUAUUAACUACAGUGCCCCCUACCUGCGUGUAAUUCAGAAAGCUUUCUUUUCUUUUAGCCUUCAGGCUGGUUUAUGAUUUGUAAAAAGUAGAAUUAUGUUUGGGUUUGACCCGCUCCGACCAUUGUGGUCCUUAAUAUUAUUGUAGUCGCUUGAGAUUUAUUAACUUGUCCCUGCACGAACUCUAGGAAAACCUUCUCAUUUCUCCUGGUCCCAUGGCCAAUCAGUGAACAGCAGACUACUUAUGUCACAGGUAGCCCUGAUUCAGCCCCGAUCGGACCUGCUCAGGAGGUUCAAAAACUAGGUACUGUAUGGAAAAAAACAGUAAUGGAAAUGCUUGCAAAGCGGGUCGAGUGGAGCUGACCUAAAUAGAGCCAGUGGAAAAGGCGCAUAUUUUUCUAACUGUUCUGUCAUGAUCUUUAACCUUUAAGCUCUGAGCAAUGCAGAUUCUGCAAUGGAGCCCUUGUGAUUUUGUAACUUCUGUUAUCUUUGCAUGGUUUGAUCUUGUGGUGAAUUUGAGGGGAUGUUCUCUUCUGGGAAGAUUAGCAGCUGACUUUAAUUCAGGUCUAAAUGAAGCUGCUCAUACCUGCACGAAAUCAAGGCAAACGACUACUAACACUGUUCUGUUGGAACUAGUGGCAGGGGUGGAGCUUUAAUUUUGUUUUUAACAAGAUUAGGAUGAAUUAUCUUUCCUUAUCUAUUGCCUAGACAGGUGUUCACUGGGUACCCAUGCCCUCUAUUUUUAUGUCCUUAGUUAGGGUCCAAAUAGACUCAUGGGUAAGAAAAGAUAUGAUAAAUAUUUCUGAGGUCCUGUAUAGAAUAGGGAUAGGUCUCAGCUCUGAAAAUGAAAUAAAGGAAUUUUUAAUAACAUUUAAAUGUUUCUGUAAAUAAAUAAUAUGGAAAAUCCCUGUU